Molecule: ribosomal RNA, 502 nt
Filed under: uncultured bacterium
Lineage: Bacteria
Description: partial 16S ribosomal RNA
Rfam family: Bacterial small subunit ribosomal RNA
Source: RNAcentral
GACGAACGCUGGCGGCGUGCCUAAUACAUGCAAGUCGAACGAACCGCGACUAGGUGCUUGCACUUGGUCAAGGUGAGUGGCGAACGGGUGAGUAACACGUGGGUAACCUACCUCAUAGUGGGGGAUAACAGUCGGAAACGACUGCUAAUACCGCAUAGGACAUGGGAUCACAUGAUUCUGUGAGGAAAGGUGGCGCAAGCUAUCGCUAAGAGAUGGACCCGCGGUGCAUUAGCUAGUUGGUAGGGUAACGGCCUACCAAGGCGAUGAUGCAUAGCCGACCUGAGAGGGUGAUCGGCCACAUUGGGACUGAGACACGGCCCAAACUCCUACGGGAGGCAGCAGUAGGGAAUCUUGCGCAAUGGACGCAAGUCUGACGGAGCAACGCCGCGUGAGUGAAGAAGGUCUUCGGAUCGUAAAGCUCUGUUGUUAGAGAAGAACAGCGCAUAGAGUAACUGUUAUGCGUGUGACGGUAUCUAAACAGAAAGCCACGGCUAACUACGUG